This is a long non-coding RNA of Dalotia coriaria, 1958 nucleotides long. RefSeq lists it as uncharacterized. The transcript is spliced from 3 exons. NCBI's taxonomy places the organism in Eukaryota, Metazoa, Arthropoda, Insecta, Coleoptera, Staphylinidae. The record is from RefSeq and is a predicted model, not a curated record.
UUAUAGAAAUUCACCGUCAGAUGGCAGCAGCUACAGGUUGCAUAUAACCUAAAUGUACCUAUAUCUAAGUUGUCUGAAUAUUUUGUGUCUUUGCCAGCCGCGAUGCACCGAAGUCUUCGAUGAGCGAUGGCGAUCGAAAGCGUAAUCGUGAAAUAAUUGAAAUAAUAAUAGAGAUGUUAUUGGUAUGCGGUGCCUGCGCGCCACGGGCGCACGAAGACGACGAUAAUGACAUGAUACAAACCUGAAUGCGACCACCAUUCGGACGAUUCGACGAUUUUCCUCUUCGAUCAUCCUCAACUUCAAUCAUGAAAGCAACACACACACACAUAUAUACAAGGCAUGUAUUUAAAUUCAUCCAUUUUUAUAUUGACGAAGUUAAUUUUAUUAAGGCGAAGGGUUUUUGAUGUGUGCGUUGGCAACACUGCGAGAUGGUAAUAAAGCAGUGGGCAACAAACGGCGGCCAUGCGGAACCGGUCAUGACUUCCCGGACAUGCUCGCCUAUCUGUCUCUCUUCUUCUGGUAGCGCGCGCGCGUGUGUGUUUGUAGCUUGUAGCUGGUUUUGCUCGGGCGAAGCGAAGCGGAACAUUAUUACGUCGUCCGCGACGGCUCUCAUCACACCAAUGUCAAGUGCAUCAAAAGCAACACACAUCGACAUUAAUAACCGACAACCACAGCUCCGACAGCUCACAACAAGUUGUGAUACUAAUACAAACGCAGGUUUUGUUUUUUCGAGGGUCAAAUGUCGCCGGUGGAAAUUAGAAAUGCACGCCACACACACGGCACUGCACUUUGAACUUGAAACAAACCCACGGAAAUUGUGAGUAUAAUUAAAUUCAUACAUUCAUCAGCGCCCUCUUGUGUUGUUAACAGGUUAUAAUUUAAAAACGCGUGUUUUCGUGAGAAAAACCGUUGAAUCUGCCUGAUGCCGAAUUGCGCAAGUCAAUUUCAUUGCGAUCGUGACUGAAUCCGAACGCGAUCGAAUGUCUUGCGCGCACGAGAGUUCAAGAAUCGUCCUGCGCCUCCUCCUGUGCUUCAAUUUCAUCACGCGUCCACCACGGUCAUUUCUAAUUUCGAUUCUCUCCACAAUUGGCAUACGAGUGCGAAGUGCGAGGUAAACAAUCGAACAACACACCAUACUACAACGAACAAUCAACAAUAUAAACGAGUACAACUCGAACACUAUAAGAUUAUAGAUUGAAGCAUCAUCAUCGUCUCGGAUAGCAGCAGGUACUCGACAUAAUCGACGUCUGGUGCGCUAUUGGGCGAUCCGCGAUGAGAUUCUCGUGCGGUGUGCGGCGCGUAGGAAAUAGAGGUGCAAUUGUCGCGAGUAAUGAGGUAGCCAGUGGAGAUGCGCUCUAGUGGAGUGUGCAGAGCAAUGGACUCGUUCCGUGCGCGGUCUGCGCGUGUUUCUUCUGGCGAGUCUUCAACCUGUCCGUGCUGUGGUUAGUUGGCAAGUGUAUAACUUGAAAGGGUAUUAAGGGAGCAUUGUUUUCCUACAAAAAUAUACCAAACAAUUAAAUAUUUUAAUCUUUAACGAGUUAAAUAUGCAAAAAAUGAAUAAUUUUAGUAAAAAAAGAAGAAAUCUGUAGGAAAUUUAACCAAACUUUGUAUUGUUAGGCAACCAACAUUUCCUUUUGCGUGUGUUCCGCUUGCAUAACGUAAAGUUGUUGUUGUUUUCUUCUUCGCGUUUCUUGCUCUUCAUCCACCUGUGCAUGUUGUGUAGGUGCCUGCAAACGCACGCCGCACGCAAGAAGUCGACCGACUCCUCGAAGCAUGGCGCGAUCGUCAAGAUUAGACGGUCUACUGACAAUGCGUACGCAUCGCACCCCGACCGAUACUGAUCUACAACUAGCGCGCACCUGUCGGGAGCGCGCACCGAGCGGAAUGUCUAAUUACCGCACGAAACAAUAGAAACUCUCGUGCGCAUUCAAGCUUAAAUCUUAAGCGCGCUGCAAAAG